This is a long non-coding RNA of Camelina sativa (false flax), 467 nucleotides long. RefSeq lists it as uncharacterized. NCBI's taxonomy places the organism in Eukaryota, Viridiplantae, Streptophyta, Magnoliopsida, Brassicales, Brassicaceae. The record is from RefSeq and is a predicted model, not a curated record.
GAAGUUUAUGUUCCUUUUUCUCCAGAUCUAACCGCAAAACACAUGGAUUAUACUUAGAUUUAAAUGUUUUGACAAAAAAUUUAACGCUUCUAGGUUUCAUCGACAGAUCUGAAGAAUUAGUGUCAACAGCGAUGUCGUAGGUGGUGGAUCUGAAGACCAUAGUGUCAACAACGGCAUCGGAGGUGGUGGAUCUGAAGACCCUUGUGUCAACGAUGACGUCGGAGAUGGUGGUGGAAGUGAAGGACCACCGAAGAUGCUCGCACCUUUUACCACCGCCACUACGUUUUGAAGCUUCCGCCAGUUCACCACCAAUACAUCUCGGCCGCCGCCGUCGUUUUGUUCUCCGUUGCUCCGUCGCCGCAAUAAUACAUCUCCGUCACUCUGGCCGAUGCUAUAGAUAUAGUUGUAUAGAUAUAUAUUUAUUAUACAUAUAAUGAAUUUAAGAAACAAAUAAAAACUAUUAUUAA